GAUGAACGCUGGCGGCGCACAUAAGACAUGCAAGUCGAACGAACUUAACCUUUAGUUUACUAAUGGAGCGGUUAGUGGCGGACUGGUGAGUAACACGUAAGCAACCUGCUUAUCAGAGGGGAACAACAGUUAGAAAUGACUGCUAAUACCGCAUAUGCCUUGAAUAUCACAUGAUAUAAAAGGGAAAGGAGCAAUCUGCUGAUAGAUGGGCUUGCGUCUGAUUAGAUAGUUGGUGGGGUGACGGCCUACCAAGUCGACGAUCAGUAGCCGGACUGAGAGGUUGAACGGCCACAUUGGGACUGAGAUACGGCCCAG
This 315-nucleotide ribosomal RNA is filed under the name uncultured bacterium. Its description in RNAcentral is "bacterial SSU rRNA". It matches the Rfam family "Bacterial small subunit ribosomal RNA", at positions 28 to 334 of the family's 1533-position model. The record is from RNAcentral.